AGGUAGGUAGCUCAGUUGGCAGAGUGGGCCCGAUAGAGGUUCGAUUCCUCUCCUGUUUG
Molecule: transfer RNA, 59 nt
Filed under: Caudoviricetes sp.
Lineage: Duplodnaviria; Heunggongvirae; Uroviricota; Caudoviricetes
Description: tRNA-OTHER
Rfam family: tRNA
About the family: Transfer RNA (tRNA) molecules are approximately 80 nucleotides in length. Their secondary structure includes four short double-helical elements and three loops (D, anti-codon, and T loops). Further hydrogen bonds mediate the characteristic L-shaped molecular structure. tRNAs have two regions of fundamental functional importance: the anti-codon, which is responsible for specific mRNA codon recognition, and the 3' end, to which the tRNAs corresponding amino acid is attached (by aminoacyl-tRNA synthetases). tRNAs cope with the degeneracy of the genetic code in two manners: having more than one tRNA (with a specific anti-codon) for a particular amino acid; and 'wobble' base-pairing, i.e. permitting non-standard base-pairing at the 3rd anti-codon position.
Source: RNAcentral